RNAcentral lists this transfer-messenger RNA (385 nucleotides) under Helicobacter pylori. It matches the Rfam family "transfer-messenger RNA". Rfam says of the family: Bacterial tmRNA, also known as 10Sa RNA or SsrA, is named for its dual tRNA and mRNA-like properties. Its role is to liberate the mRNA from a stalled ribosome. Lineage: Bacteria; Pseudomonadati; Campylobacterota; Epsilonproteobacteria; Campylobacterales; Helicobacteraceae. The record is from RNAcentral. RNAcentral also lists the same sequence under 1 other name.
GGGGCUGACUUGGAUUUCGACAGAUUUCUUGUCGCACAGAUUGCAUGCCAAGUGCUACUUGUAAAACAGCAACAAAAAUAACUGUAAACAACACAGAUUACGCUCCAGCUUACGCUAAAGCUGCGUGAGUUAAUCUCCUUUUGGAGCUGGACUGAUUAGAAUUUCUAGCGUUUUAAUCACUCCAUAACCUUAAGCUAGACGCUUUUAAAAGGUGGUUCGCCUUUUAAACUAAGAAACAAGAACUCUUGAAACUAUCUCAAGGUUUUAGAAAGUUGGACCAGAGCUAGUUUUAAGGCUAAAAACUAACCAAUUUUCUAAGCAUUGUAGAAGUUUGUGUUUAGGGCAAGAUUUUUGGACUGGGGUUCGAUUCCCCACAGCUCCACCA